AGUGAACGCUGGCGGCGUGCUUAACACAUGCAAGUCGAACGAGAACGGAUUAUAGCUUGCUAUAAUUGUCAGCUAAGUGGCGCACGGGUGAGUAAUGUAUAGGUAAUAUGCCUCUUACUAAGGGAUAACAAAUGGAAACGUUUGCUAAUACCUUAUACUCCUUAUUAACCUAAGUUAAUAAGGGAAAGAUUUAUUGGUAAGAGAUUAGCCUGUAUUGUAUCAGCUAGUUGGUUGGGUAAUGGCUUACCAAGACUAUGACACAUAACUGGGUUGAGAGGAUGAUCAGUCACACUGGAGCUGAGACACAGUCCAGACUCCUACGGGAGGCAGCAGUGGGGAAUAUUGCACAAUGGACGAAAGUCUGAUGCAGCAUCGCCGCGUGGAGGAUGACACAUUUCGGUGCGUAAACUCCUUUUAUAUGAGAAGAUAAUGACGGUAUUAUAUGAAUAAGCACCGGCUAACUCCGUGCCAGCCGCCGCAGUAA
Molecule: ribosomal RNA, 484 nt
Filed under: uncultured bacterium
Lineage: Bacteria
Description: partial 16S ribosomal RNA
Rfam family: Bacterial small subunit ribosomal RNA
Source: RNAcentral